Molecule: ribosomal RNA, 406 nt
Filed under: uncultured bacterium
Lineage: Bacteria
Description: partial 16S ribosomal RNA
Rfam family: Bacterial small subunit ribosomal RNA
Source: RNAcentral
AUUGAACGCUGGCGGCAGGCCUAACACAUGCAAGUCGGGCGAGCGGCGGACGGGUGAGUAAUGUAUGGGAAACUGCCUGAUGGAGGGGGAUAACUACGGUAACCGGUAGCUAAUACCGCAUACAAUCAGAUGGUCCCAGAGGGGAUGAGCGAGUAGGUGGGGUAAUGGCUCACCUAGGCGCCUAUUCCUAGCUGGUCUGAGAGGAUUAGCAGCCACACUGGAACUGAGACACGGUCCAGACUCCUACGGGAGGCAGCAGGGGUGAAUAUUGCACAAUGGGCGCAAGCCUGAUGCAGCCAUGCCGCGUGUGUGAAGAAGGCCUUCGGGUUGUAAAGCACUGUCAGCGAGGAGGCGUUACCCGCAGAAGAAGCACCGGCUAACUCCGUGCCAGCAGCCGCGGUAAUUC